Molecule: long non-coding RNA, 1060 nt
Organism: Peromyscus californicus insignis
Lineage: Eukaryota; Metazoa; Chordata; Mammalia; Rodentia; Cricetidae
Exons: 4
Source: RefSeq, a predicted model, not a curated record
GGAAGCGUUCUAAAAAAGUUCGUGGUGCUGGAGCUGGCUAUCUGAAGGCGGGGCCUACACUGGCCUGGGGCGGGGCUCAGAAGGCGGUCCUUGACCAGAACUGGGGGCGGAGUCUGGAGGUCAGAGAACAAUCCCUAUAUAUAUGGGAUUUAUCGAAAUGACUUACAGGCUUCAGUCCGGCUAAUCCAACAAUGGCUGGCUGUGAAACAAAAGCCCAGGAUUACAAUAGCUGCUCAGUCCACAAGGCUCGGUGUCUCAGCUGGUCUUCAGUGUGUGCUGGAAUCCUAAGAAGUAGGCUCCAAUGCCAGUGAAGGAAUGGAUGUGCUAGCAAGGUGAGGGCAAGCAGGCAACAAGCAAAACCUUCCUUCUUCUAUGUUCUUAUACAGACUUCCAGUAGAAGGUGUGGCCCGGGUUAAAGUUGUAUCUUCCCACUCAAGAUCCAAAUCAAAGGCAUGUGUCUUCCUACCUAAAGGGUCUGGACUAAAAGUGGAUUCACUCACUUCAAACCAAGCAAAAAGUCUUUCACAGUGUGCACAGUACCUCCCAGCACUAUGAAAGCUAACUAGUGGGGAUGAAGCUUCCAGGCCCCACACAUCUGCCAGUGUCAGGAACAACAAUCUCAUCAGGAACUGGAGGAACAUUCUGGAGAAACCACAGUCUACCUGAAGCUUUAGUUCCAUCCUCACACCUGCAUCCAAUCAAGAAGUGCAGUGAGCAUCCUUGUUUGUGAUUAUUUGCACAGAGGUGGUUGGCGAGUGGGCAGGUUAGACUUCUGGAUGUGUGAUUGUCUUCUUGUGCACUUUGUGUCCAGGGGGAUUUUCAUGGAGCUUUCUCUAGCGGGGGAAGAUCCCUCCUGCUCAUCCUCAGGCCAAUGGCCGCUUACAUUUUCAGGAGAAACAAGGCUGUACCAGGCACUUGUGGGCACGUCCUCUCAUCCUUGAUCUUUUAGCAGCAUGAUUCUCUGAGGCUGCAGAAUACAUUAUUCAGGCAUCUUUUUCUGUCAAUUACCAUGGAAUCAGCUGGAACAACAAACAAACCAAUAAAAAGGAAUGGAUAAUCA